RNAcentral lists this ribosomal RNA (258 nucleotides) under uncultured bacterium. RNAcentral describes it as "partial 16S ribosomal RNA". It matches the Rfam family "Bacterial small subunit ribosomal RNA", at positions 96 to 354 of the family's 1533-position model. The record is from RNAcentral.
UGGCGGACGGGUGAGUAACGCGUGGGCAACCUGCCCUGUACUGGGGGAUAACACCUGGAAACAGGUGCUAAUACCGCAUAAGCGCGCAGUGCCGCAUGGCGCGGCGCGGAAAACCCCGGUGGUACAGGAUGGGCCCGCGUCUGAUUAGCUGGUUGGCAGGGUAACGGCCUACCAAGGCGACGAUCAGUAGCCGGCCUGAGAGGGUGAACGGCCACAUUGGGACUGAGACACGGCCCAAACUCCUACGGAAGGCAGCAG